CCUACGAGUGGCAGCAGUGGGGAAUAUUGCACAAUGGGGGAAACCCUGAUGCAGCGACGCCGCGUGAGUUAAGAAGUAAUUCGUUACGUAAAGCUCUAUCAGCAGGGAAGAAAAUGACGGUACCUGAGUAAGAAGCCCCGGCUAACUACGUGCCAGCAGCCGCGGUACUACGUAGGGGGCAAGCGUUAUCCGGAUUUACUGGGUGUCAAGGGAGCGUGGACGGUGCGCCAGGUCUGGAGUGAAAUGCCGCAGCUUAACUGCGGAACUGCUUUGGAACUUGGCGAACGAGAGUGCGGGAGGGGUAAGCGGAAUUCCUAGUGUAGCGGUGAAAUGCGUAGAUAGUAGGAGGAACACCGGUGGCGAAGGCGGCUUACUGGACCGUAACUGACGUUGAGGCUCGAAAGCGUGGGGAGCAAACAGGAUUAGAUACCCCGGUAGUC
RNAcentral lists this ribosomal RNA (440 nucleotides) under uncultured bacterium. RNAcentral's name for it is "partial 16S ribosomal RNA". It matches the Rfam family "Bacterial small subunit ribosomal RNA", at positions 338 to 795 of the family's 1533-position model. The record is from RNAcentral.